Molecule: transfer RNA, 77 nt
Filed under: Pseudomonadota bacterium
Lineage: Bacteria; Pseudomonadati; Pseudomonadota
Also listed under: 3 other names
Description: tRNA-Glu
Rfam family: tRNA
About the family: Transfer RNA (tRNA) molecules are approximately 80 nucleotides in length. Their secondary structure includes four short double-helical elements and three loops (D, anti-codon, and T loops).
Source: RNAcentral
GCCCCCGUCGUCUAGAGGCCCAGGACGCCACCCUUUCAAGGUGGAGAUCGCGGGUUCGAAUCCCGCCGGGGGCACCA